Molecule: long non-coding RNA, 1626 nt
Filed under: Mytilus galloprovincialis (Mediterranean mussel)
Lineage: Eukaryota; Metazoa; Mollusca; Bivalvia; Mytilida; Mytilidae
Source: RNAcentral
GUGCAAAGAAAUAAUAAUUAAGUCAGUAUGAUGUUGGAAUGUUUUUUUCUUUCUUAUAACUGUAACUGCAUCGUGCUAUCACUACUUAUUAUCAACAUAAACAAAGCUCAGAUCUAUCAUAAUAACAUGUUAGUUUAAUAAAUGUACACCAAAUUUAAAAAUACCAUUGAAAUAAAUUGUUUGUAUUCAGUUCUACAAGUGUGGUUGUGCUUAUCCUUGUGGUAAGAUUGAACAAAUUUGUGUAGUUCUAUUUGUCUCCAUAAACCCUCAAAUAAUCAAAUGGAAUUACUCUUUCUAAAUAUAAAUUAUUUUGAGCAGAAAAUUACUGAAAAUUGAGGGUCAUCAGUGUAAUUUAGUUACACAUAUUGUACUUCUACAUUUACAAGGACUUUCAAUAGUGUUUUUAAAUGCAAUGUAUAUUUCAACCACACAUAAUAUGUAAUUUUGCAUUAAAAUUCACAAUUUGAAACAUAAUCUUUUGUUGCUAUCAUCUUUGCAAAAUUAGCAAAAAAUAUCUUUUCAAACAUUUUUCCAACUUCUAAUGUUCUCUCAAUAUAGCACAAUUCUUCAACAGUGAUAAGUGAAUGAAAUGUUCUACGAAAUAAACUCAUUGCUAACAUAUAUGAAUUGGAAUUUAUUGAUUGAUUUUGAUGAUCUUGAGAGAUUUCUACCUCCAUACUGAAUAAUUAUCUCUUUUUAUCUUGGCUCUCUUUUAUAAGCAAUAUACACAUAAAACAAAAUAAAAAUAUUCACAUAUAAUAAUUUUUCCCUGAGAAAAUAAAACCUCUUAAAAUGAAAUAUGUAUACACAUGUACAAUACAAUAUACCUAAAGUCUGCAGAAAUGGUGUAUCAAUAUUAUAUUUCUGAAAAUUUAAGCAAUGCAGAUUUAUGAUAUAUUGCACGAGUUUUAACCAAUACACAGAUUACUACACAAGAUAAAAACACUUUUGCAUGAAAAAAAACCCAACUAGAUGUGGUUUAAAGUACUCACAAACAGUAUUUCAAACUUGUUUGUCCCUUCAUUAGAAAUAUUUUCAGAAUACAAUUUGGUGUGAGAUUCUAACUACUAAAAUAAUUCAACUAUGGAAAACUAAUCAGUGCUGGACUUUUGGUAGCCACUAUAAACUUGGUGCAUGUAAUGAAUAUGAAAUUUUAAUUCAAAAAGCCCUAUCUGUCAAAAUGAAAAGAUGUAAUCACAAUCUACAGAUCAAUCCAGGAACUGACUUGAUAUGCUCUGGCUUUGCAGUCAUAAACAUUUAGAAUAUGCUUAUUGUACUUAAAUUCAACCAAUAAAAUAACUGGAUUUGGCGUUUUGAGCAAACAUUUUGUUCUCCAAGCACCAAGUAAAAUUUCAUGACCAUAGGCCCUAGCUUGUGACCAAAAGGAAAAAACAAUAAAAGAUAAAAACUGAUGUAAAGCAUAAUAAAAUGUACAUAGCACCAUUUCAACAGAAUAAUCCUUUCUGUUUUCAUAUGAACACAUUAUAUACUCUGACAUUUACACAUAAAAAUUUAAGACAUUGAUGUUAACUGUAAAUUCAGAAAUUAUUGCAAUGUAUGCGACAGGCCAGGGUUAUAAUUGCAAUAAUUAAAACUUGCAUUUUCAAAUUUUUUAUAUGAAUAAUU